UACGUAGGGUGCAAGCGUUAAUCGGAAUUACUGGGCGUAAAGCGUGCGCAGGCGGUAAUGCAAGACAGAUGUGAAAUCCCCGGGCUCAACCUGGGAACUGCAUUUGUGACUGCAUUGCUGGAGUGCGGCAGAGGGGGAUGGAAUUCCGCGUGUAGCAAUGAAAUGCGUAGAUAUGCGGAGGAACACCGAUGGCGAAGGCAAUCCCCUGGGCCUGCACUGACGCUCAUGCACGAAAGCGUGGGGAGCAAACAGG
This 253-nucleotide ribosomal RNA is filed under the name uncultured bacterium. Its description in RNAcentral is "partial 16S ribosomal RNA". It matches the Rfam family "Bacterial small subunit ribosomal RNA", at positions 524 to 776 of the family's 1533-position model. The record is from RNAcentral.